This 264-nucleotide ribosomal RNA is filed under the name uncultured bacterium. RNAcentral's name for it is "partial 16S ribosomal RNA". It matches the Rfam family "Bacterial small subunit ribosomal RNA", at positions 524 to 783 of the family's 1533-position model. The record is from RNAcentral.
UACGAAGGGGGCUAGCGUUGUUCGGAAUUACUGGGCGUAAAGCGCACGUAGGCGGAUUGUUAAGUUAGGGGUGAAAUCCCAGGGCUCAACCCUGGAACUGCCUUUAAUACUGGCAAUCUCGAGUCCGAGAGAGGUGAGUGGAAUUCCGAGUGUAGAGGUGAAAAUUCGUAGAUAUUCGGAGGAACACCAGUGGCGAAGGCGGCUCACUGGCUCGGUACUGACGCUGAGGUGCGAAAGCGAUGGGGAGCAAACAGGGGAUUAAGA